This 497-nucleotide ribosomal RNA is filed under the name uncultured bacterium. RNAcentral describes it as "partial 16S ribosomal RNA". It matches the Rfam family "Bacterial small subunit ribosomal RNA", at positions 28 to 507 of the family's 1533-position model. The record is from RNAcentral.
GAUGAACGCUGGCGGCGUGCCUAAUACAUGCAAGUCGAGCGAACGGACGAGAAGCUUGCUUCUCUGACGUUAGCGGCGGACGGGUGAGUAACACGUGGAUAACCUACCUAUAAGACUGGGAUAACUUCGGGAAACCGGAGCUAAUACCGGAUAAUAUAUUGAACCGCAUGGUUCAAUAGUGAAAGACGGUCUUGCUGUCACUUAUAGAUGGAUCCGCGCUGCAUUAGCUAGUUGGUAAGGUAACGGCUUACCAAGGCAACGAUGCAUAGCCGACCUGAGAGGGUGAUCGGCCACACUGGAACUGAGACACGGUCCAGACUCCUACGGGAGGCAGCAGUAGGGAAUCUUCCGCAAUGGGCGAAAGCCUGACGGAGCAACGCCGCGUGAGUGAUGAAGGUCUUCGGAUCGUAAAACUCUGUUAUUAGGGAAGAACAAAUGUGUAAGUAACUAUGCACGUCUUGACGGUACCUAAUCAGAAAGCCACGGCUAACUACGUG